RNAcentral lists this long non-coding RNA (206 nucleotides) under Elaeis guineensis (African oil palm). Its description in RNAcentral is "long non-coding RNA (EGUI_LNC072942)". Lineage: Eukaryota; Viridiplantae; Streptophyta; Magnoliopsida; Arecales; Arecaceae. The record is from RNAcentral.
GUGAUCUUAUUGAACUCGAUGAGAACAGCAGGGAUCUGAUUACCUACAUGGAUGCCAUACAGAGGUCCAACUCCGAUUAGUGGUUUGGAGCCAUAAAGUCCGAAAUGGAGUCCAUAAUGGUUAAUGGUGUAUGGAUACUCAUUGAUCCACUCGAAAGGAUAAAAUUCAUAGGAUAUAAGUAGAUCUCCAAUAGGAUCAAAGGCCGC